Ostrinia nubilalis (European corn borer) is the source of this 680-nucleotide long non-coding RNA. RefSeq lists it as uncharacterized. NCBI's taxonomy places the organism in Eukaryota, Metazoa, Arthropoda, Insecta, Lepidoptera, Crambidae. The record is from RefSeq and is a predicted model, not a curated record. The transcript has 2 exons.
UUGAAGGAUUAUAAUUAUUGAUGAAUAAUUUUCCACGUUUUCCACAAAAAAUUGGAUUUUAACCACGAUAGGAAAAUGAGAACCUGCGCCUAUCCGUUUAAACCGAUUGUAGAAUUUAUGGAAAGGUAAGUUAAGUAAAAAUAAACAUACUAUGUAGUGGAGGAAUUUCGAAAUUAAACGAAUAAUUUUGAGCUGGUUUUUUUGGAGAAAUACAACCUUUCCAGCAUAACUUCCACGUGCCUAGCUAAAAUUCAGUAAUAUGAGUGCUAGAUUUAUAUUUUCUAGAUACAAUAAAGUUGUUUUUCUAUAGAUAUGGCGAUCUGAGUAAGCCCACUGAAGGGCCCCAAGAAAGAGCCAACAAUAGUCAACGGUGGGUGGAACUAACGGACACGCGAACGUGAAAUGCUGAUCCCACCGGCGACACGAAAACUACUGAGAAAUUGAGAAAAGUGUGGAGUGACUUUAAACAUCAAGAAGAAGGCAACUCGCAUACACAGAGCUGCCAAGGGAACACUGGACUGGUGGCGGUCCAGGUUCUUCCCUGAAGCCAAAGGAUUUAGAGCAGAGUGCUUGUAAAUAACUACUUGUAAAUUAAAUCCAUAAUAAAGACCUAGGGUAACUGGAUGGAUAUACCUACCUUAUUAUUGUAAAACUUAAGAUAUUAUAAUUAAUUAAAUACA